UAGGGAACCUUCGGCAAUGGACGAAAGUCUGACCGAGCAACGCCGCGUGAGUGAAGAAGGUUUUCGGAUCGUAAAACUCUGUUGGUAGAGAAGAACGUUGGUGAGAGUGGAAAGCUCAUCAAGUGACGGUAACUACCCAGAAAGGGACGGCUAACUACGUGCCAG
RNAcentral lists this ribosomal RNA (165 nucleotides) under uncultured bacterium. Its description in RNAcentral is "partial 16S ribosomal RNA". It matches the Rfam family "Bacterial small subunit ribosomal RNA", at positions 355 to 511 of the family's 1533-position model. The record is from RNAcentral.